CUCGAGCCCGCGGCGGCCGUCGCGAGCCCCCCGCGGCCGGCGUGGGCCGCCUGGUUAGGCCGCGGCCACCGCACCCUGAGGGCGGGAAGGACCUGCGCGACGGCCCCCUCCAGGAUGCCCUCCGCGUCCACGUCCGCGUCCCGACUCCCACCCGCUGCCUUGGAAAGAAGUCUCGGGGCCGUGGGGACCAGAAACGGGCGCCAGAGCUGAUGGCAACCAGAGGACGCCCGCACACCCUCGCGCGCACGUGGCCUCCGAGGAGCGGCGUGGAGUGGGGCCAGGGUCACGAGGCCGCUCGCAGAGAUCCCCGUGCGGUCCGGCGACAGCCCAGCAGGAGACAGAUGUUUUUGUAUUUUCUUCCUGCCGUGUGCUUUAUUCACUUAAUCUAUGUCGUGAGACUUCAGUAAAACCUGGUGGAUUAAACACCCUCCUGCAACCUCUCUUAAAAUGGCAGCGGAGGGACUAAAAACGGCGUGAGCUGCAAGGACAACGAGAACGGCGAAGGAGAAGAGAAUAAUAAAAUCUUGCAACUGGAAGGCAAAUGGAGGAGCUGAAACUGUCUCAGGAAACCAGAGAAAUGACAACUGGACAUUGCAGGAAGGUCCCGAACCACUACUUGCCAGUGGAAAAUCUCAGGCUGCGGAAGUGGGGGCCCACGUAAUUCUACGAGUGGGUGUGCAGGCGACGGGGCACACUGGGAGGUUGGCUGAGAGUCUGUACCAGAAGCUCCCGAAUCGUCAGAUCCCUCUCCCCAGCUGAACAACCAGGUGGCUGUUUUCCUUCCUUCCCAGUGGAAAACCAGAGGAGUGGUUCUCAAACGUCAGCAGCCAUCAGAGUCCCCUGGAGGGCAAGUUCAAAUGCAGAUUGCUGGGCCCCACCCCUAGAGUUUCCGAUGCAGCAGGUCCAAGAAGGGACCUGGGAAUCUGCAUUUCUAACAGAUUUCUAGGUGAUGCUGAUGCUGAUGUUGAUGCUGGGCACUACAC
This 983-nucleotide long non-coding RNA is filed under the name Equus caballus (horse). RNAcentral's name for it is "lncRNA (ENSECAG00000053178.1)". Lineage: Eukaryota; Metazoa; Chordata; Mammalia; Perissodactyla; Equidae. The record is from RNAcentral.